RNAcentral lists this long non-coding RNA (638 nucleotides) under Gallus gallus (chicken). The record is from RNAcentral. Lineage: Eukaryota; Metazoa; Chordata; Aves; Galliformes; Phasianidae.
CGGAAGAAGAAGGUGUGCCCCGUAGGUUCCCACCAGACUGCAGUGUCGAUGCUGUCGUAGGGGAUGCCCUGCCCGUAGGUGGACAGGGGCUGGGGGUACCCAGCUUCCAGGUUGGCUUCACGGAAGAGCCAGUACCGGUUGCCUUUAAAGAAGACAAAUCUCCCGUCGUGCCUCUCGUAGGCAGCGUCGAUGUCCCCAGGCAGUCCCCGCCAGAAGUGCCCGAUGGGCAUGGGGUAGUUGUCCAGCACCCGAUUGUGCCGGACCCGCCAGAACCACUUGCCCUUGAACACAAACAUCUCUCCCCGCAGCACUGCCACUGUGUCAAAGUUCCCAUCACAGAUGUCGGGGCCGUACUGGUCAGGUCGGUCUGGGUUGCCAGGUUUUGGGGGCCGCUCUGGUUUCCCUGGCGGAGGUGGUUUGGGGGGUCUGUGGUCCGGCCUGCCAGGUCUCCGAGGUGUCACGGUGGGCAAGGGCUUGGUGGGCUGAGGGUGCCCAUCCGCGGUACCGUACAGCUGCUGUAUGCCCUUCAGGUCAUCCUCAGGGAGCUGGAAGUUCUCCGUGUCCAUCCACUGGUAGAAGGGGGCCAUGAUAGCACUGGGGUUGCUAGAGUGCUCCAGGCCCAGCGAGUGCCCCAGCUC